ACACGUGAUUCAGAGUUUGAUCCUGGCUCAGAGCGAACGCUGGCGGCGUGCCUAACACAUGCAAGUCGAACGUGAACGGCUUCGGCCUAGUAAAGUGGCGUACGGGUGAGUAACGCGUAGGUAAUCUACCUUAGAGUUCGGAAUAACCGGCCGAAAGGCUGGCUAAUACUGGAUAGAGCGACGAGAUUCGUAAUUGGAUCUUUCGGGAAAGGGAGGAUGUCAAAGUCCCCUCACUCUAAGAUGAGCCUGCGUCUCAUUAGCUAGUUGGUAGGGUAAUGGCCUACCAAGGCUUUGAUGGGUAGCUGGUCUGAGAGGAUGAUCAGCCACACUGGAACUGAAACACGGUCCAG
This 350-nucleotide ribosomal RNA is filed under the name uncultured bacterium. RNAcentral's name for it is "bacterial SSU rRNA". It matches the Rfam family "Bacterial small subunit ribosomal RNA", at positions 1 to 334 of the family's 1533-position model. The record is from RNAcentral.